Molecule: non-coding RNA, 54 nt
Filed under: Ochromonas sp. CCMP1393
Lineage: Eukaryota; Chrysophyceae; Chromulinales; Chromulinaceae
Source: RNAcentral
UUUGAUUGUUUUUGUCUUUUUUUUCUUUUUUCUUUUUUCUUUUUUUUUCUUUUU